UGGGGAAUUUUUCACAAUGGGCGCAAGCCUGAUGAAGCAACGCCGCGUGAGUGAUGAAGGCUUUCGGGUCGUAAAGCUCUGUCGGUUGGGAAAAACGGCAUCUUGUCUAAUAAACAAGGUGAGUGAUGGUACCAGCAAAGGAAGAGGCGGCUAACUCUGUGCCAGCAGCCGCGGUAAUACAGAGGCCUCAAGCGUUGUUCGGAAUUACUGGGCGUAAAGGGAAUGUAGGUGGCGGUGUAAGUCAGAUGUGAAAGCCCUGGGCUCAACCCGGGAACUGCAUUUGAUACUGCAUUGCUCGAGUGUGGAAGAGGAGAGUGGAAUUCCCGGUGUAGGAGUGAAAUCCGUAGAUAUCGGGAGGAAUUCCGAUGGCGAAGGCAACUCUCUGGUCCAUAACUGACAC
Molecule: ribosomal RNA, 400 nt
Filed under: uncultured bacterium
Lineage: Bacteria
Description: bacterial SSU rRNA
Rfam family: Bacterial small subunit ribosomal RNA
Source: RNAcentral